CCAUCCCUCCUGACCAGCCCACCUGAGCUCCCAUUUGCAUCCUGACCCGCACCGGCUUUAUUUUCCUGCUGCAUUGCUGUUGACAUGGAAACCAAUACCGCUUUCUGUUGCAGAGAAUUGGAAGCUAAAGCUACCAAAGAAGUCGAAAGAAAACUAAGCAGGGCUUUCCUGCCUCAUUUAUGUGGAACUGAGAGAAGGGAUUUAGUGCAAGAAGAGGAAGAACAGUUGAUGGAAGAAAGGAAAAAGAGAAAAGAAGACAAGAAGAAGAAGGAAGCUGCUCAAAAAAAGGUAUGUGGAGCACUGAGAAUAAACUCCUGUGCUUGGAGGUGACUUGUUUCAUCACUAGUAAAAACAAGUGUUCUCUUAUUAAUUUAAUGUCUUAAAUUUAGCUGUGCUGUCAGUUAUUUAGAGGUAACUGACAUAAUUGAGCAUUGUAAUUGGCUCUGUGUAGUUUCUUACAAAACUAAAUUUUCAUCUGGGGUGACCCUUCUAUUUCCUGAUGGUCAAUUGAGGCAGUCUCAGGUUUGUAGCACCUCAGUGUUAAUGUAUUUACUAGUAGAAUAAAAGUGCCAUUUUAAGGCA
RNAcentral lists this long non-coding RNA (582 nucleotides) under Zonotrichia albicollis (white-throated sparrow). Its description in RNAcentral is "lncRNA (ENSZALG00000009093.1)". Lineage: Eukaryota; Metazoa; Chordata; Aves; Passeriformes; Passerellidae. The record is from RNAcentral.